Long non-coding RNA from Priapulus caudatus, 406 nucleotides. RefSeq lists it as uncharacterized. The transcript has 3 exons. The record is from RefSeq and is a predicted model, not a curated record. Lineage: Eukaryota; Metazoa; Priapulida; Priapulimorpha; Priapulimorphida; Priapulidae.
GGUGGUUUUGGGGUCUGUCGCAAACAAGGGGUUAAUCUACCAUGUUGUACCCGUUUACCAUGCUUCAACUGAUUUUUAUAUCAAUGAUACACCCAGACUGAUGGAUAGGCAGGCCUUCAGUCAGGUAGACCUAUGAUACUGUUGUACCAUGUAUUGGUGGCAGUAUGCAUGGAAACGUUCUUUAUUAUGGUCAAAAUUAUCAAAAUUUGCCAGAUCUUUUGGUAUAUUUUUGGGCCCUUAACCCCCUUAACAGCAUAGAACUGCCUAAAAUGCAUUGCUUCAUCUAUAUUUCAAUCAAAAACAUUGAUAUAACCAUCAGUUCUAAACAUCUGUUCGGCUGAUUUUAUAAAAUAUGCAAGUAAACUGAAAAAGUCGUUUUAAGGUCUGUCGCAAACAAGGGGUUAAU